This 74-nucleotide transfer RNA is filed under the name Candidatus Woesearchaeota archaeon CG1_02_57_44. RNAcentral's name for it is "tRNA-Arg". It matches the Rfam family "tRNA". Rfam says of the family: Transfer RNA (tRNA) molecules are approximately 80 nucleotides in length. Their secondary structure includes four short double-helical elements and three loops (D, anti-codon, and T loops). RNAcentral also lists the same sequence under 2 other names. The record is from RNAcentral. Lineage: Archaea; Nanobdellati; Candidatus Woesearchaeota.
GCCCUCGUAGUCUAGCCUGGAUAGGACGCAGGGUUCCGGACCCUGAAACCGGGGUUCAAAUCCUCGCGAGGGCG